GUGCCAGCCGCCGCGGUAAGACGAAGGUGGCGACCGUUGUUCGGAAUCACUGGGCAUAAAGAGCUCGUAGGCGGUGAGAAAAGUAGGGUGUGAAAUCCCUCGGCCCAACCGAGGAACUGCGCUCUAAACUGUCUUGCUUGAGGACCGAAGGGGACCACGGAAUUCCUGGUGGAGCGGUGAAAUGCGUUGAUAUCAGGAGGAACACCGGCGGCGAAGGCGGUGGUCUGGUCGGUUUCUGACGCUGAGGAGCGAAAGCUAGGGGAGCAAACGGGAUUAGAUACCCGAGUAGUCC
Molecule: ribosomal RNA, 292 nt
Filed under: uncultured bacterium
Lineage: Bacteria
Description: partial 16S ribosomal RNA
Rfam family: Bacterial small subunit ribosomal RNA
Source: RNAcentral